ACAGCCGGUUUCCAUACCAGCAGCUGUUUGGUUUAAUAUCUUUUCAGCAAAGGUGCCAUAGGGAGCCUUUCAAAAACCCUCAUGUUAAUACUUCAGCCUGUUUUCCUGACGAGAUUCAGCUGAGAAUAGUGUCCUGGUAAUUUGCCACAGAGCGUGAGUCGUGAAACUUUUACAUAUGAAAUUCUCUUAAAGAUGUCACAUUUGAAAACCCUUGAACUUCAGUGAAAUGUAACUGUGUGUUGGAGGGCAUGUCAUGAUUUUACUGGUGUGCUGGAGUUAGUCUGUCCUGGGAGACAGCGUACACACUGUAAUGGAUGCUUGUUCAGCCUGUGUGAAAGAGGGUCUGCAGACGUGUAAUAGUCCCAGCUUCGAACACACCAUCAGGAAGCCUGUUGACUUCUCCCUUUCGACAGCGAAGCCAUAAUGUUUCAAAUACAGCUCUGUUAGCUGAGUGACCAAUUAAGGAAGCAGAAAACAGCAAGAAGAAAGGUUGCAGAAUUAUCCAAAGAAAAGAGAGCUGAUUUUUUAAAUGAUAGCUAAAGACAUCUUUGAAGACAGUUGAAUCUGGGUUGGCAAGGCAAAAAGUCAAACGGCAGAUCAAAACAAGAGAAGAAAACUGACUAAAAUAAAAGUGAUGAUAUGUUCAUGUAAUUUAAACAUUCAAGUCUGUGUAAAUGAAUUAAAAAUUUUCUCUGAAA
Molecule: long non-coding RNA, 698 nt
Organism: Hyaena hyaena (striped hyena)
Lineage: Eukaryota; Metazoa; Chordata; Mammalia; Carnivora; Hyaenidae
Exons: 2
Source: RefSeq, a predicted model, not a curated record